Molecule: long non-coding RNA, 4233 nt
Filed under: Macaca mulatta (Rhesus monkey)
Lineage: Eukaryota; Metazoa; Chordata; Mammalia; Primates; Cercopithecidae
Description: lncRNA (ENSMMUG00000041754.2)
Source: RNAcentral
AUGCAUGAUCUCCUUCCUAAAGAGGACAAGAAUGACAGCCACAUCAUCUGGAGAAGGCAGCCAGGGAAGUACUCAAGAGAAAACACUUCUGUGGGUGACUUGAAGAAGCUGGUCACCAUAUGGUACAUUUUCUAUAACCCUGGUCAAAAUAAGCUCAGGAACAAAUGGGAACUAAAGGGUAAUCAAAUAAAAUUAUCGCAGACCAAGAAGCUAAUUGCAAAAAAUAAAAGGGAUGAAUCAGGGCUUGAGUCAGAAAUAGGGAGUCAAAAGCUCUUCCCAGAGACCACCCUCCUUGCUCUCACUGGUAGAUAGCUCCUCUUCCCCCUUCCCUUGACAAUUUCUGCUUUGUUAGUGCCAAGCCCCUCCCAAUUCAAUUCCUCGUGUCUCCUUUGAGUUCUAAGGAAUGGGGAGAGGAGGCAAAAAACAGCUUUCAGAUGCCAAGUAAGUGGAAACCAGGAGCGCCAAUCUGCCAGAACCUGUCUAUACCCCACUCCUGACAUAAGUCACUGUCUCUUGUAUCCCCCACUUUCACCAGAUAGAAGGACAUCUCUGCCAGUUCUUUAAACAUUUCAUAUUUUUGAUUCAUUUAGACCUUAAAAACUGUUUAUUUCCUCUUUCUGGAAGGUUUUGUUUUUCUUCUUAUUGCCAGCUAAUCAUUCGGGUCUUCACUUAAGCUGCAAUUCUCCACCUACCUUGAUCCUGCCCCCUCCCACCAGAGCAGAUCAGCUCACUUAGCCAUACUCUCAUGGUACCUAUCACAGAAGCAAAAAUCGUUAACAAAGUCAUCAUAAUUAUUUAUUGUUUGUUUACACUAUUAGACUGGACACUCCUAGAGGGCAGUAACGUGAUCUCCUUUUCCUCACUCCAGGAAUCCCAGUGCUUAACUCACUGCCUGGCACGUGAGUGUUUGGUAAAAGUUUGUUGUUCCUUUUGCUACUGGUCACCUUCCAAAAUCUCUGCAUUACAUCAUCUCUCAAAUUGCAGCUCAGGGAAGACUGACUUGGAAAUGAAACACAAACAGAGGGAGGCUGCCAGACACUAGUGACUAAGAUACAGCAGGGCUGUUCACCCUCCAUAAUAGCCUACCGCAUCAACAUGUACUACCUUCCCUCCUAUUCCAUAGUCAAAAAUCUUGGAAUCAUUCUUUCAUUCUUGAUGCCUGCACUCGUCUUUCCCUCACCUUACACCUAACCAUCACCUAGGACUGUCUAUUGUUAUUUCCCAUCAAUUGAUUACCAACCACUGUACUAGCUCCCUGUCACCAUACUAGACAAAGCCACCAUUCUCUCCUAGAGAUAGCCUACUCCUGUCUCACUGCUUCCUUCUUGCUCUAUUCCCCUCCAUUCUCCACUUAACAGCCAGAGUGUCCCUUGUGAAACACCUACCAUGUCACAGCACUGCCUUCUGUUGACGUUCCUUCAAUAACUUCCCGUGGCUCUUAGUAUAAUGAGCAAAAGCCCUAAUCAAUCUGUGAGGCCCUCGCAGAGAUGCCUACUGUGCAUGUAGCUCAUCUGCCUCGAAUGGAGCCAGUUCCCCAUGUGCUCAGCUGCACUGGCCCUCUGACUGUCCUGUGGGCCCUGCCAAGCCCUUGAUGUCACAUGGCCUUGUGAUCACUGCCUCCAUAGUCUACAGUGUCCUCUCACACCCUUCUCUCAUCCAUUAACCCAUGCUCCUUCUAAAGAUCCUAGCUCAGUUGUUCUGCUGGGAAGAAUCUUUUUAUCACAUGCCUUCUCCAAGUCUAGAGCCAGUUUCAUUCCUUUCCAGGACUUAAGUAUAUUUCUAAUUGUUUCUUAUUAUGCACUCACUCAGUAGAAUUGCUAAGAGUAAUGCUUAUCUUUUGAACCAAACUCUAAAUUCCUGGAUAACAGAGACUUGAUAAUGCUUGCAGUUUUAUCUUCAACAUGUAACACAGUGCCUGGCACAGAAAAGGCACGAAGUAAACUCUUGUUAAUGGACGGAUGGAUGGAUGGAUGGAUGAAUGAAUGAAUAGUCUGGACUGCCAUUUGUCUAUCCUCUAAACCAGGAAUUACAAAAUCCCCACAGGGGCCAAGCAGGUAGAAAAAUGUGUGAAUUAUGCUAGGGGUUAUUAAAAAGGAGUUGUAGAGCAUGCAAUGAAAUUUUCAAAUUUCUUUUAAACCCUAGGUUGUGGACCAAGCUUCACUUUUUUGCAGCUUUCUGUUCCAACAAGUUACUCCCCCCAGAUCCCACCUAUUUUAAAAGCAACUCCCAGAGAAAGAAAGGCUUGACAGCCAACAGAUGACCACCACAUUCUCUCCCACAAGUCAUCUGAUUUCAAAAGGCAAGUUCUGUUCACAGGAAGGAGAGUAUCCAUACAAGUCCAAGUUCAGUGAGAGGGACUGUCCUGUAACCUGGAAGCCAAGGACUGGAAUGCCCUCAUUCACUUAUUCUGAUUCAUAAAGUUUAAAUUACUAAAAGAGGUUAACAACUUCAACAUGUGGCAUAAUCCAGCGAUUCAUUUGUUCAAAUAAGAGAAAAAAGUUUAACUUUGUAACAAUAAUAUGAACACAAAAACAUUUCCUGGGACCAAAAAAAAAAAUGUGGCUUUGAAAUUCUGCCUUUUAUCUUCCUGGGAAAAGCAAGAGCUUACAAACUGGGGUUGGGGGGAAGGUUUCUUUUUGGUAAACUCAUAGGCCUUUGGCCACUGCUUCCCUUCCACCUCAAUUGUUUUCUUCUGAUCUAUGCAUUGACCACGUAGAAAUGUUCAAAUGAAAGCACCCGGUCAUUUUUACUUAUCUUUCUUAUUUUUCUAGAAAGAGGCCUUGAUAUAUUCUAGUUUCACAAGUGAUUUUGCUAGAUUUUUGCCGUUACGAAUCUGUUUCGCUUUAACUGCAAACCACCUGAUUCUGAUUUUCCCUAGCCAUAAAUCUGAAUUUUUACUACAUUUUAUCUGAGAUUCACAACAGAUGGGCUAUGAACCAAGAAAAAUACAAUGGGAGGAAAGAAAAGAUAAAAUUAUUGGGCAACGACUACACAGAAGAUGGACCAACCCUGAGACAGGAUAUAAAGGAGGGUGAAGGGGGUAGUCCCAGUGAAGUAGAAUGAGGAAAACCAUUUUCUUCAUAAAACUAUAGAAACAGCAGUGUUUACCUUUAGUGUUGUUGCUACCCAGAAGAAGAGAAGGUAUCUUGGCAUUUUAUCAACCAUAUUUUUAUGUACUGCCAUCAAGAAUUUAUUUUCACUGCCUCCAUAUAUUUCUUAGUCAGGCAACCAUUUUCAAUGAUACUAAAUCCAUCUACUCCCAUAUAUGUGGCCCAACACAACUCAAUCAGACAUUUUUUUAAACCAGCCCUAUGAAAAGAUGUUUUGAAAAGCUAAUGACCAACCAAACCUGAGUAUAGCCAUCCAAACAUUUUAGUCAAAGGACAGGUUAGAGAAGAAUCACUUGACUAAAGAAAUGCUUACAAUGGGCUGGGCCAGUGGCUCAUGCCUGUAAUCCUAGCACUUUGGGAGGACGAGGCAGGUGGAUCACCUGAGGUCAGGAAUUCAACACCAGCCUGGCCAACAUGGCAAAACCCUGUCUCUACUAAAAAUGCAAAAAUUAGCCAGGCAUAAUGUUACACACCUGUAAUCCCAGCUACGUGGGAGGCUGAGGCAGGAGAAUCACUUGAACCCAGGAGGCGGAGGUUGCAGUGAGCCGAGAUUGUACCACUGCACUCCAGCCUGUGUGACAGGAGUGAGACUUCAUCUCAAAAAAAAAAGAGAAAGAAAAGCCUACAAUGUUAAAGGUUAUGCUAACAUUUACAGCCAAAGGCAGAAGGGCAAUGUAUAUACUAUGAUACAAAAGAUUUAAAUAGGAAAAGUUCAGUUCACCAGAUAUGCACUCUGUACAUGAUGCCAACCAGGUUACUUGAAAGUCACACAUUAAAACAGCUGUCUUCACAUUUGCUAGUUGCUGUCUAAUUUCUAUAGGGUCUUGGUCCUAUAAAAUUUUUCUAAUAUACAUUAUUGGUUUUUUUAUUUUAAUCUUUUAAUAGAAAUUCAAUAAUGAGUAUUUACUGCCUAUAUCUGAUAGAAGAAUCCCAUUUCUCAUGAGAAAAUCAAUGGAAAACUCAGCAUUUCUUCAAAACCAAAAUUUCCUUUGUCAAAACCUGUAGAACACAGGUUUCAGCAAAAUUCGUAAAAUAUUCAGAUCAAAUUUGGGUUUCUUAUUGAUUUUCAGGAGGAUUAAUCCCUUUUAUAUUAAAAGCUCAUUUGGUCACAAGUAAUGGAAAU